AACGAACGCUGGCGGCAGGCUUAACACAUGCAAGUCGAACGCGUGUAGCAAUACACGAGUGGCGCACGGGUGAGUAACGCGUGGAUAUCUGCCUUUUGGUUCGGAAUAACUCCGGGAAACUGGAGCUAAUCCCGGAUGGUUCCUUCGGGAUAAAGAUUUAUCGCCAAAAGAUGAGUCCGCGUACGAUUAGCCAGUUGGUGAGGUAAAGGCUCACCAAGGCGACGAUCGGUAGCUGGUCUGAGAGGACGAUCAGCCACCCUGGGACGGAGACACGGCCCAGACUCCUACGGGAGGCAGCAGUGGGGAAUAUUGGACAAUGGGGGCAACCCUGAUCCAGCCAUGCCGCGUGAGUGAUGAAGGCCUUCGGGUUGUAAAGCUCUUUUGGCGGGGACGAUGAUGACGGUACCCGCAGAAUAAGCCCCGGCUAACUUCGUGCCAGCAGCCGCGGUAA
Molecule: ribosomal RNA, 451 nt
Filed under: uncultured bacterium
Lineage: Bacteria
Description: partial 16S ribosomal RNA
Rfam family: Bacterial small subunit ribosomal RNA
Source: RNAcentral